UGUCUGUUUCUCUGCCACUUCUAAGC
Molecule: non-coding RNA, 26 nt
Filed under: Rattus norvegicus (Norway rat)
Lineage: Eukaryota; Metazoa; Chordata; Mammalia; Rodentia; Muridae
Source: RNAcentral